Molecule: non-coding RNA, 5195 nt
Organism: Pelodiscus sinensis (Chinese soft-shelled turtle)
Lineage: Eukaryota; Metazoa; Chordata; Testudines; Trionychidae
Source: RefSeq, a predicted model, not a curated record
UGCAUUGUGUGCAACAAAGGUAAAUUUAGGUUGAGCUGAGGAUGUUCUAAGAGCAAGUGUGCAAAGCUGAGCUUCUGAAUAGGUAUUAUGCCCUAUCAAGGACUCAUUGUUUAGCAGAUCCUAUACCUAACAAUGCCUCAUUGUGAAGGUUCCAAAGAUCAGUGCAUUAAGUACCAGUUUUUCAGACCCCCUUCACAUUUUCAGUGGCUUCUAGUGCUGCACACACUAGGAUAUUCCUAUUACAGUCAUACCUGGGUGUUCAUCUAUUGGCUGCAGAAGUAGUGGGGGUUUUAUUAAAUGGAUGGGACAAGCAUUUCAGAUCACUGGUUUCUUUUCUUCAAGAGUUGUAUUCUACCCCAUGCCAGAGAAAUCUCUUUUUAGGAUUUGAGACCUGCUGCUGUUACAAAUCUGGAAAACUAACCUUGGACUUAUCAAACUAUUUCACUUGGAUGGAUAUUUCACUCAAAGACCUGGAGGGAGAUCACUGGAGGGAGGUCACGAUGCACAAUUAACACCCAUUUAAGAUGAAAAACUGUAGGAUAUGGCCUUCAACAGAAGAGAAGAUCCUGGAUCAUUGUACAAUGUGAAGUGGACAUGUGCAAUGGUAUUCACUUGGAAAGACUGCUCUAAGACAGGCGCACAAAGAAAUAAAGUGGGGCUUCUUUGUUGGCAACCAUUAAUAUCCAAAAAUGCUACAGAAACCAAUGGACUAUUAAGAACGAGUUAACCACAGAGUGGCAUCAUGGUUCAGAACUGCUGGUGGAGUGAGCUGCUAAUUUUUACUGCUGAGAAGGUAAUGUGUGAAUCAUGUUAAGGAGUUUCCCCUCCACUAGUCCCCCACUGGAUUAUCUAAGCAGCCACUAGUCUCAAGACAGGCCUAAGCCUGAUGAAGCAUUGUACUGGCACGGCAGGAAGUGGCUCCAAUGACUGCCCCUCAGAUACACACCUCCAAUUUGCUGCUACUGUUGGGCUGCCAGCUAAUCAGGAGAGCAAGUACUGGACUGACAUUCUGAAGGCCUGCGGUCUGUUCCCAAGCACUGCCAUUGGCCUGUGGGAUGAUACCAAGAAAGCCAUUUUGCCUCUACUUCCUCUCUGCAAAAUAUGGAUAAUGAUACUGAACACCCUUUGUACAACACUGAGCUCUGCUAAUGAAUAGUAUUGGAAAAGCUAGGUAUUAUUGGCCCAAUUCUCAUUCACCCUCUAUUGGUGCAAAAUGUUCUUUCUAGAAAUACUCUUCUUUGGCUUAUAUGGACUACAGCUACAAGGAGGAGACAACAUUCCUCUUCUCCCACCCACUAGAGAGAUGCUGCUGUUGUAAGAAUGGUGGUAAUAGUGAGCAUGAGAAAUGAGAAGAUGCCAUCCUGCACUUAAGGCUGGAGGCUGCACAGGCAGCCCACAGAAAAAAGUUCUGGUCAUGUGAUUAAGAGUUGAAUAGGGUGUAAAAAAAUAAAUGAGGAACUUGUACAUUUCACCAACUGCUAGGUUGGCAGAGCAAGUGGGGCAUAUGCUAAAGAUGGCUCUGGAACAUAAAAAGGUUGGCCAUUCACACAGCAUUUUUUUUUAAUGUAAAUGUUAACUUUAUUAAUGCUGUUAAAAUAUCCAAACAUACAGGAUGUAUAAUGUCUCCAACUUAACACUCUGGGGACAUGUGGGAAAUCAACUUUUUGGAGCAUUUGAUUGUUAAAUCUUAACUUUGCAUUAGCACCUUAUUUGAGCUAUAAUUUUGUAUAUUUGUUUUAACUCUAGUAAAGAAAAUUAAGUAGCAAUGGGAAACUAUUAUCUUAACUAAUCACUUUUGUAUAAUUUCCUGUAGCUCUAACAUUGAUUGCACUCAUAUGUCAAAAAGAUAUCGGCAUACAGCCAGUGAAGAUUCAGGAUUAGUCUACUAAUUUACCCACUUAAUAGAAUUGCAUACCACCAAUUGAAUGCUUCACAAAAUGUAAAUAUUGCACAAUCAAACCAAUAAAGCCUCAAAUACCUCCAAGUCGCAAGCAAUUAUCUUCAUUAUACAAGUGCACAAAAGAGGAAGAGGCACAUUUGAAUUACAGCUUCACUUAAAAUCCACAAUAGGUAUAGUACUGAUUGACUAAUAUUAAAGCAAAGUCCAUCUUAGUUCUCAAGAACCGGGUGCUUUCGAAGUGGAAUGUGAGUACAUAUUUGCUCAAAAGUCAUCUUGAUUUCAGUAUUAUCUCCUCUGUAUGUUUUCCAAGGAAGUAUACAGGAAUAAAAAUAUUACUCAACACUUUAUGGACCAAAUGAAAUUAUUUCAUCCUGGAGCUACCUGAUAAAUGCCUUUCCUGUUACAGCAGAGUCAAUAUGCUUGCUGUGCAACACAUUGUUGCAUAUGAAAAAGCCUAACAAAACAGGAAACCCAGUGCAAUCAUUUAUCUUAUGAAUGUAAAAACAUUGUGCACAUUCUUAACAUAAGUACAUGUAAUGGUCAUAAAUGCCAGUGCUGUUUUUCUCCAUGUACAAGAGAACUUGAUCAGCAUAUGAAAGACAUUCCAUUGGGGAGCAGUUUGUUAUGGAUUUAUUAGAGACUUCGUUGAUAUCAAAAGCACAGGUAAAUUAAGUCUAUACUAUGUUGCCAGGAGACUUGUGCUGCUGAUGAGAGAAAAUUAAACAGGAAUUCCUUUAUAGCUCUGCCAUUUUUUAGUUAGCAGCUAGGAACCGCUGCUAUUAACUACUAGCUACUGUAAGCAGAAAAAGACAAGCAGUGCAUAUUUUAACUAAGGCAACUAAAGCCAAGUAUAAGUCAAUAGAAAAUCACCUUUAUAAGUUAGAAUAACCGGAUUUGGGGGAACGUGGCUGUUUUGGCUCCAAGAUAUUUGCAGCAUAAUAAUAUCAGGACCAGGAUACAGCUGCCUUGUGACUAAGACGAUGUUCACUGAAUAAGUGCUAUCCAAUCACCAGACGUCACCAGACAUCUGUUUCCUGUUUUCAUUCUUUCACUGUUAUCAUUUUAUCCGAAUUACCCCUUCACCUGAAGGCCAUUUAGAAAUCUACUACAAUUGAAGUCUGAGUGUCUGUACCAGACACUGACUUGAAUUGCUCCUGCUAAGUGUCAUUGAAACAUUGAAAGCUAACAUUGAAACAAAAUCACUUUUUAAAAUGCACAAUACACACACACACACUUACACUUCAGUCUUCACUAAAAUGACUAACUUCCUUCUUUGCUUCCACCUCAGUAGCCUUCCUGUUGAGUACCACUACCUCCACAAAGUACAAUUGUGAAUUGAUUCAUAAAAACAGAAACAUUAUGGCACAAAUAAGGGAAGGCAAUAAAUAUUUUCUCCCCCCGCGCCUCACCAAAAAUGGAGCAACCAGUAUUGUAGUAACAAUAAAAAAAGGUGUCACUUGUCAUUUAAGUUUCCAAACCAACAAUCAUCAGGAUGCAUAACAGGAUACCUGUAAAAUGAGAAAGUUAUUUACUCCACACUCAAAAUAACACCAGAAGCUAUGUUUUUGGCAUAUGGGAUCACUUAAGAACAUGCCAAAGUUAUGAACCUUGUAAAAACGCUCACAUUAACACCACUGAAUAGCAGGAAUUGGGUCUCACUUUUAUACCACAAUAUUCCAGCUUCUUUUAAACUGCAAGCCAGGAGUCUGGGGCAAUUACUUCUUAGCAUCUAUAUCUGGGACAAUGGAAACCUACAGUUAUUUUGUUAAUGUAAAUUUUAUUCCACGCGAGAUUGUCAGACUCCGUGAGAUUUCACUGGGAUCAUGGAGAAGAUGUGAAGGGUUUUCCCCACUUAGUUUUUCUGAUUCCACCUGUGAAUUGAGCAGCUCAAGAAGCUGGGUUGAUAAACACCAAGUCAUCAAGCCCUCCACCCUGAAAAAAAGAAAGGGAGGUGGAAGGCAGGAAGAAAAAUAGCUUUUCUUAAAGCCUACAGCAGAGGCUUGGACCCCAUAGAGUCAGAGUGGGGGAGCACAGAAGGGUGCUGGCAAUAAGUAGCUUAUCCCUAGGAUAUGGGAUAAUUUCAUAGCUAAGAGAUGUUUACAAUUCCCUCAGGUACCUGAAAAUUAGAUUGGGGAAGAGGGAUAUUAUUUAACUCUUGGCAUAGGUGCUGGAACUAAGGGUACUGCAUCUCUUAGCUCAAAGUGGUUUUGAUCAUAUACAGUGUUUAUUUUAGUCCAAUGGCUCUCAGCACCCCCCACUAGACAAAUUCUUCCAGCAUGCCUGUCUUGGUCUUCUAGACUUUCUGCAGAAGAGAAAAGGAAACAUGCCAGAAAGAGAUCCAACAGCUUCUCCCUGUUUAGUGCCUUAUCCAACUUCCAUUGUAACACAUGGGAAUCAUUCCAUUAACUUAGUGAGAGUUGAUUAAUCCUUUAUUGAUGGAGUAGGCCCCAGAUGCUUCAAAGUACUAUUUUGCUCAUCUAUAUUGAGUAAAGGGGAGAGAAUCUGGCAUCCAAAUAAAUAUUCCUUCACAUGAGUAUAUAAUGUUCAAAGUAGAGCGGAUUAAAGAUUCUCACUCUAAAACAUCUGUUGGAAAAUAUGGUUGCCAAAAAAAAUUCAAGAAAAAUGUUGGUUGUUGCAAUUUCAGUUUUCCUAAUGGAAAAUCAUGAUGAAAAAUUCAAUUUCUUAGCUAGAUUUAGUUUUAAUUAUAAUUUCCAGUAUCCCAUGCGGAGAUUAUAUAAAAUCACCUCAUGAAAUCCUCAUUAAUGAGGUUUAUUCUAACUACUCCUGGGAAAUAGGAAAGAAUUAUUCUCAUUCUAGAGAUGGGAAAUAAUUGACACACAGGGCAGAUUAAGUGACUGGACCAAACUUGUACAUUAUGUUUGAACGAGAAUCAGCUCAGUUACAAUGUCCUAUCUCUAAACUCCUAAUUUUAAUAUAUGCACCUUAUCUAAAGUUAAUGGCUAUAAAAACAGCAACAUUUGCUGAUACUGCUUUUUGUAUACAUUUUUACUUGCUUAGAUUUUCUAUUUAUAAUAUUUUAGAAAAAUCCUGAUUAGACACACACGUGUGUCUAAACUGGUUUUAAAUAUCUGAUUAAAUCAAAAGUUCGUGUUCUAAUUUAUGUCUGCCACUGACCAGUCAAGUCACUACUAUGGCCUCAGGAAAGUUAUUUAAUCUCUCUGCUUCAGGAACACUAGCUGUAAAAUGAGACUACUACUGGUGUCUCUCAAAAGUGUUGAGGAUUCAGUUUUGUAGAAUUCACUGAAUAAAUUCUGAAGUGUGGACUGAAUAAAUU